UCCGUAGGCGGUUAAUUAAGUCAGAGGUGAAAUCCCACAGCUUAACUGUGGAACUGCCUUAGAUACUGGUUAUCUUGAGUUUUAGUGAAGUAGAUAGAAUGUGUAGUGUAGCGGUGAAAUGCAUAGAUAUUACACAGAAUACCGAUUGCGAAGGCAGUCUACUAACUAACAACUGACGCUAAUGGACGAAAGCGUGGGGAGUGAACAGGAUUAGAUACCCUGGUAGUCC
Molecule: ribosomal RNA, 229 nt
Filed under: uncultured bacterium
Lineage: Bacteria
Description: partial 16S ribosomal RNA
Rfam family: Bacterial small subunit ribosomal RNA
Source: RNAcentral